This 269-nucleotide ribosomal RNA is filed under the name uncultured archaeon. RNAcentral's name for it is "partial 16S ribosomal RNA". It matches the Rfam family "Archaeal small subunit ribosomal RNA", at positions 477 to 747 of the family's 1478-position model. The record is from RNAcentral.
CAGCACCUCAAGUGGUCAGGAUGAUUAUUGGGCCUAAAGCAUCCGUAGCCGGCGCUGUAAGUUUUCGGUUAAAUCUGUACGCUCAACGUACAGGCUGCCGGGAAUACUGCAGCGCUAGGGAGUGGGAGAGGUAGACGGUACUCGGUAGGAAGGGGUAAAAUCCUUUGAUCUAUUGAUGACCACCUGUGGCGAAGGCGGUCUACCAGAACACGUCCGACGGUGAGGGAUGAAAGCUGGGGAGCAAACCGGAUUAGAGACCCGCGUAGUCC